Molecule: long non-coding RNA, 559 nt
Organism: Thunnus maccoyii (southern bluefin tuna)
Lineage: Eukaryota; Metazoa; Chordata; Actinopteri; Scombriformes; Scombridae
Exons: 3
Source: RefSeq, a predicted model, not a curated record
UGAUGUAACUUCCUGUUGCAGCCAUAUUGCAAUGCCAGGUGUUGAAGGAAGGUGAUGUUCAAUCCUUUGCCAUGCUGCUCUCCAUGGAUCUUAAGAGGCACUACUUCAGGCAGAGCUGAGGAUGAGAAUGGAAGGAGGAGGAGGAGAGCGGAAACGUCCACUUGCUCUGGAAUCACAUGUACAUUGCUGCAGUAAAUGUCACCAAAAACCCCUGAAAGGGAGUUUUGACUUUUAUUCUGUGUAAACCUUUAUUUAAUCGGGUUUUACCGGAGUUGGCAUCCUCCAUGUUGCAUGACUGCAACCUUCUGGUUUUAGUCCUCAUCAGUGUCCCAUUAUUCUGUAUCUGUUUAAUUAGUCUGGUUGUCCUCAAAAAACAAACAAACAUAUACUUCCAUACUGCUUUCUAUACUGAUUUCUGAUAAUCCUAAUUACUGUAAUUGUGUAACAAUUUCCUGUGUAUUUCCUGUAUGAUAUAACAUGUUGUAGUGUCUCUGCUUCCUGACACUGCUCACAAUGGCCUGUGUUAUGUUUUUCUACAUUGAAAAGUGUGCUGUUAAGA